RNAcentral lists this ribosomal RNA (253 nucleotides) under uncultured bacterium. RNAcentral's name for it is "partial 16S ribosomal RNA". It matches the Rfam family "Bacterial small subunit ribosomal RNA", at positions 524 to 776 of the family's 1533-position model. The record is from RNAcentral.
UACGGGGGGGGUAAGCGUUGUUCGGAAUUACUGGGCGUAAAGGGCUCGUAGGCGGCCAACUAAGUCAGACGUGAAAUCCCUCAGCUUAACUGGGGAACUGCGUCUGAUACUGGAUGGCUUGGAUCCGGGAGAGGGAUGCGGAAUUCCAGGUGUAGCGGUGAAAUGCGUAGAUAUCGGGAGGAAUACCAGUGGCGAAGGCGGCUUUCUGGGUUACCACUGACGCUGAGGAGCGAAAGCGUGGGGAGCGAACGGG